This 393-nucleotide ribosomal RNA is filed under the name Nasutitermes ephratae. RNAcentral's name for it is "partial 16S ribosomal RNA". The record is from RNAcentral. Lineage: Eukaryota; Metazoa; Arthropoda; Insecta; Blattodea; Termitidae.
CAUCUUUUCUUGUUAGUUUUUGAAGUAUGGCCUGCCCACUGACUUGGAGUUGAAGGGCCGCGGUAUUUUGACCGUGCAAAGGUAGCAUAAUCAUUAGUUCUUUAAUUGUGAUCUGGUAUGAAUGGCUUGACGAGACAUAAGCUGUCUUAGAGGUAUUGAUUUAUUGAAUUUGGUUUUUGAGUUAAAAUUCUUAAAUGUUUUUAUGGGACGAGAAGACCCUAUAGAGUUUGACAAUUUUCCUAUUUGUUCGUUGUUUGUUUUAUUUACAUUGAGUGGGAGUGAAUUGUUUUGUUGGGGUGAUGGGAGGAAUAUUGUUUAACUCCUCUUUAUUUUUAUAUAUUUAUGUAUAUAUUUUUGAUCCAUUUAUUUUGAUUAUAAGAUUAAAUUACCUUA